AGAGACAGCAGCCGCCACGGUAAUACGGAAGGUCCAGGUGUUAUCCGGAUUUAUUGGGUUUAAAGGGAGCGUAGGCCGCAGGUUAAGUGUGUUGUGAAAAGCAGUCGCCCAACGUCUGCCUUGCAGCGCAAACUGUCCUGCUUGAGUGCGCACAACGCAGGCGGAAUUCGUCGUGUAGCGGUGAAAUGCUUAGAUAUGACGAAGAACUCCGAUUGCGAAGGCAGCUUGCGGGAGCGCAACUGACGCUGAAGCUCGAAAGUGCGGGUAUCGAACAGGAUUAGAUACCCCAGUAGUCCCUGUCUCUUAUAA
Molecule: ribosomal RNA, 309 nt
Filed under: uncultured bacterium
Lineage: Bacteria
Description: partial 16S ribosomal RNA
Rfam family: Bacterial small subunit ribosomal RNA
Source: RNAcentral